RNAcentral lists this ribosomal RNA (1179 nucleotides) under Klebsiella pneumoniae. RNAcentral's name for it is "bacterial SSU rRNA". It matches the Rfam family "Bacterial small subunit ribosomal RNA". Lineage: Bacteria; Pseudomonadati; Pseudomonadota; Gammaproteobacteria; Enterobacterales; Enterobacteriaceae. The record is from RNAcentral.
UCUAUACCGCGGAGAGAGGUGGCCAGAAGUGUGGGGGGGCAUAUUUGGCACCAAAUUCGGGCGCCAGGCCUGGAUGCAGGCCAUGUCGUAGUGUGGUGCAGGAAUGGCCCUUCGGGUUCGUAAAGUCACCUUUCAGCGGGGGAGGAAGGCGGUGAAGGUUAUAACCUUGUCGAUUGACGUUACCGCAGAAAGAAGCACCGGCUAACUCCGUGCCAGCAGCCGCGGUAAUACGGGAGGGUGCAAGCGUUAAUCGGAAUUACUGGGCGUAAAGCCGCACGCAGGCGGUCUGUCAAGUCGGAUGUGAAAUCCCCCGGGCUCAACCUGGGAACUGCAUUCGAAACUGGCAGGCUAGAGUCUUGUAGAGGGGGGUAGAAUUCCAGGUGUAGCGGUGAAAUGCGUAGAGAUCUGGAGGAAUACCGGUGGCGAAGGCGGCCCCCUGGACAAAGACUGACGCUCAGGUGCGAAAGCGUGGGGAGCAAACAGGAUUAGAUACCCUGGUAGUCCACGCCGUAAACGAUGUCGAUUUGGAGGUUGUGCCCUUGAGGCGUGGCUUCCGGAGCUAACGCGUUAAAUCGACCGCCUGGGGAGUACGGCCGCAAGGUUAAAACUCAAAUGAAUUGACGGGGGCCCGCACAAGCGGUGGAGCAUGUGGUUUAAUUCGAUGCAACGCGAAGAACCUUACCUGGUCUUGACAUCCACAGAACUUUCCAGAGAUGGAUUGGUGCCUUCGGGAACUGUGAGACAGGUGCUGCAUGGCUGUCGUCAGCUCGUGUUGUGAAAUGUUGGGUUAAGUCCCGCAACGAGCGCAACCCUUAUCCUUUGUUGCCAGCGGUUAGGCCGGGAACUCAAAGGAGACUGCCAGUGAUAAACUGGAGGAAGGUGGGGAUGACGUCAAGUCAUCAUGGCCCUUACGACCAGGGCUACACACGUGCUACAAUGGCAUAUACAAAGAGAAGCGACCUCGCGAGAGCAAGCGGACCUCAUAAAGUAUGUCGUAGUCCGGAUUGGAGUCUGCAACUCGACUCCAUGAAGUCGGAAUCGCUAGUAAUCGUAGAUCAGAAUGCUACGGUGAAUACGUUCCCGGGCCUUGUACACACCGCCCGUCACACCAUGGGAGUGGGUUGCAAAAGAAGUAGGUAGCUUAACCUUCCGGGAGGGCCGCCUUACCCCCCUUUGGUU